Molecule: non-coding RNA, 378 nt
Organism: Agromyces sp. Root1464
Lineage: Bacteria; Bacillati; Actinomycetota; Actinomycetes; Micrococcales; Microbacteriaceae
Source: Rfam
UGGGUCGGCAAGACGGUCGCGUCGCACGGUUUCGGUCGUGCGCCGAGGAACGUCCGGGCUCCACAGGGCAGGACGGUGGGUAACUCCCACCCGGGGCAACCCGCGAGACAGUGCCACAGAAAGCAGACCGCCCGGUGCGCAAGCGCCGGGUAAGGGUGAAACGGUGGGGUAAGAGCCCACCAGCGACCGCGGUGACGCGGUCGGCUCGGUAAACCUCGUCCGGAGCAAGGUCAGACAGGGAACGAUGGGGCUGCCCGUCCCGUUCCCGGGUGGACCGCUGGAGGGCUGCGGCAACGUAGUCCCGAGAGAGAUGGCCGUCCAGCCGGUGUCGCGAAAGCGCCCGGUGAACAGAACCCGGCGUAUCAGCCGGCCCAUUCG